RNAcentral lists this ribosomal RNA (253 nucleotides) under uncultured bacterium. RNAcentral's name for it is "partial 16S ribosomal RNA". It matches the Rfam family "Bacterial small subunit ribosomal RNA", at positions 524 to 776 of the family's 1533-position model. The record is from RNAcentral.
UACGUAGGGCGCAAGCGUUAUCCGGAAUUAUUGGGCGUAAAGAGCUCGUAGGCGGUUUGUCGCGUCUGCCGUGAAAGUCCGGGGCUCAACUCCGGAUCUGCGGUGGGUACGGGCAGACUAGAGUGAUGUAGGGGAGACUGGAAUUCCUGGUGUAGCGGUGAAAUGCGCAGAUAUCUGGAGGAAUACCGGUGGCGAAGGCGGCAUCCUGGACCGAGAUUGACACUGAUGAGCGAAAGCUAGGGGAGCAAACGGG